CUUGCUCCCUGAUGUUAGCGGCGGACGGGUGAGUAACACGUGGGUAACCUGCCUGUAAGACUGGGAUAACUCCGGGAAACCGGGGCUAAUACCGGAUGGUUGUCUGAACCGCAUGGUUCAGACAUAAAAGGUGGCUUCGGCUACCACUUACAGAUGGACCCGCGGCGCAUUAGCUAGUUGGUGAGGUAACGGCUCACCAAGGCGACGAUGCGUAGCCGACCUGAGAGGGUGAUCGGCCACACUGGGACUGAGACACGGCCCAGACUCCUACGGGAGGCAGCAGUAGGGAAUCUUCCGCAAUGGACGAAAGUCUGACGGAGCAACGCCGCGUGAGUGAUGAAGGUUUUCGGAUCGUAAAGCUCUGUUGUUAGGGAAGAACAAGUGCCGUUCAAAUAGGGCGGCACCUUGACGGUACCUAACCAGAAAGCCACGGCUAACUACGUGCCAGCAGCCGCGGUAAUACGUAGGUGGCAAGCGUUGUCCGGAAUUAUUGGGCGUAAAGGGCUCGCAGGCGGUUUCUUAAGUCUGAUGUGAAAGCCCCCGGCUCAACCGGGGAGGGUCAUUGGAAACUGGGGAACUUGAGUGCAGAAGAGGAGAGUGGAAUUCCACGUGUAGCGGUGAAAUGCGUAGAGAUGUGGAGGAACACCAGUGGCGAAGGCGACUCUCUGGUCUGUAACUGACGCUGAGGAGCGAAAGCGUGGGGAGCGAACAGGAUUAGAUACCCUGGUAGUCCACGCCGUAAACGAUGAGUGCUAAGUGUUAGGGGGUUUCCGCCCCUUAGUGCUGCAGCUAACGCAUUAAGCACUCCGCCUGGGGAGUACGGUCGCAAGACUGAAACUCAAAGGAAUUGACGGGGGCCCGCACAAGCGGUGGAGCAUGUGGUUUAAUUCGAAGCAACGCGAAGAACCUUACCAGGUCUUGACAUCCUCUGACAAUCCUAGAGAUAGGACGUCCCCUUCGGGGGCAGAGUGACAGGUGGUGCAUGGUUGUCGUCAGCUCGUGUCGUGAGAUGUUGGGUUAAGUCCCGCAACGAGCGCAACCCUUGAUCUUAGUUGCCAGCAUUCAGUUGGGCACUCUAAGGUGACUGCCGGUGACAAACCGGAGGAAGGUGGGGAUGACGUCAAAUCAUCAUGCCCCUUAUGACCUGGGCUACACACGUGCUACAAUGGACAGAACAAAGGGCAGCGAAACCGCGAGGUUAAGCCAAUCCCACAAAUCUGUUCUCAGUUCGGAUCGCAGUCUGCAACUCGACUGCGUGAAGCUGGAAUC
RNAcentral lists this ribosomal RNA (1269 nucleotides) under Bacillus amyloliquefaciens. Its description in RNAcentral is "bacterial SSU rRNA". It matches the Rfam family "Bacterial small subunit ribosomal RNA", at positions 79 to 1333 of the family's 1533-position model. The record is from RNAcentral. Lineage: Bacteria; Bacillati; Bacillota; Bacilli; Caryophanales; Bacillaceae.